GCCUGGGUGGUUCAGUCGGUGGAACGUCUGACUCUGGCUCAGGUCAUGAUCUCGCGGCUCGUGGGUUCGAGCCCCGCGUCGGGCU
Transfer RNA from Felis catus (domestic cat), 85 nucleotides. It matches the Rfam family "tRNA". From Rfam's summary of the family: Transfer RNA (tRNA) molecules are approximately 80 nucleotides in length. Lineage: Eukaryota; Metazoa; Chordata; Mammalia; Carnivora; Felidae. The record is from Rfam.